Molecule: ribosomal RNA, 1987 nt
Filed under: Staphylococcus aureus
Lineage: Bacteria; Bacillati; Bacillota; Bacilli; Caryophanales; Staphylococcaceae
Description: 16S ribosomal RNA
Rfam family: Bacterial small subunit ribosomal RNA (bases 225-1987)
Source: RNAcentral
AGAGUUUGAUCCUGGCUCAGGAUGAACGCUGGCGGCGUGCCUAAUACAUGCAAGUCGAGCGAACGGACGAGAAGCUUGCUUNAUAAAAUGUAUAAUUAAUUCUUGUCGGUAAGAAAAAUGAACAUUGAAAACUGAAUGACAAUAUGUCAACGUUAAUUCCAAAAAACGUAACUAUAAGUUACAAACAUUAUUUAGUAUUUAUGAGCUAAUCAAACAUCAUAAUUUUUAUGGAGAGUUUGAUCCUGGCUCAGGAUGAACGCUGGCGGCGUGCCUAAUACAUGCAAGUCGAGCGAACGGACGAGAAGCUUGCUUCUCUGAUGUUAGCGGCGGACGGGUGAGUAACACGUGGAUAACCUACCUAUAAGACUGGGAUAACUUCGGGAAACCGGAGCUAAUACCGGAUAAUAUUUUGAACCGCAUGGUUCAAAAGUGAAAGACGGUCUUGCUGUCACUUAUAGAUGGAUCCGCGCUGCAUUAGCUAGUUGGUAAGGUAACGGCUUACCAAGGCAACNNNNNNNNNNNNNNNNNNNNNNNNNNNNNNNNNNNNNNNNNGAGUAACACGUGGAUAACCUACCUAUAAGACUGGGAUAACUUCGGGAAACCGGAGCUAAUACCGGAUAAUAUUUUGAACCGCAUGGUUCAAAAGUGAAAGACGGUCUUGCUGUCACUUAUAGAUGGAUCCGCGCUGCAUUAGCUAGUUGGUAAGGUAACGGCUUACCAAGGCAACGAUGCAUAGCCGACCUGAGAGGGUGAUCGGCCACACUGGAACUGAGACACGGUCCAGACUCCUACGGGAGGCAGCAGUAGGGAAUCUUCCGCAAUGGGCGAAAGCCUGACGGAGCAACGCCGCGUGAGUGAUGAAGGUCUUCGGAUCGUAAAACUCUGUUAUUAGGGAAGAACAUAUGUGUAAGUAACUGUGCACAUCUUGACGGUACCUAAUCAGAAAGCCACGGCUAACUACGUGCCAGCAGCCGCGGUAAUACGUAGGUGGCAAGCGUUAUCCGGAAUUAUUGGGCGUAAAGCGCGCGUAGGCGGUUUUUUAAGUCUGAUGUGAAAGCCCACGGCUCAACCGUGGAGGGUCAUUGGAAACUGGAAAACUUGAGUGCAGAAGAGGAAAGUGGAAUUCCAUGUGUAGCGGUGAAAUGCGCAGAGAUAUGGAGGAACACCAGUGGCGAAGGCGACUUUCUGGUCUGUAACUGACGCUGAUGUGCGAAAGCGUGGGGAUCAAACAGGAUUAGAUACCCUGGUAGUCCACGCCGUAAACGAUGAGUGCUAAGUGUUAGGGGGUUUCCGCCCCUUAGUGCUGCAGCUAACGCAUUAAGCACUCCGCCUGGGGAGUACGACCGCAAGGUUGAAACUCAAAGGAAUUGACGGGGACCCGCACAAGCGGUGGAGCAUGUGGUUUAAUUCGAAGCAACGCGAAGAACCUUACCAAAUCUUGACAUCCUUUGACAACUCUAGAGAUAGAGCCUUCCCCUUCGGGGGACAAAGUGACAGGUGGUGCAUGGUUGUCGUCAGCUCGUGUCGUGAGAUGUUGGGUUAAGUCCCGCAACGAGCGCAACCCUUAAGCUUAGUUGCCAUCAUUAAGUUGGGCACUCUAAGUUGACUGCCGGUGACAAACCGGAGGAAGGUGGGGAUGACGUCAAAUCAUCAUGCCCCUUAUGAUUUGGGCUACACACGUGCUACAAUGGACAAUACAAAGGGCAGCGAAACCGCGAGGUCAAGCAAAUCCCAUAAAGUUGUUCUCAGUUCGGAUUGUAGUCUGCAACUCGACUACAUGAAGCUGGAAUCGCUAGUAAUCGUAGAUCAGCAUGCUACGGUGAAUACGUUCCCGGGUCUUGUACACACCGCCCGUCACACCACGAGAGUUUGUAACACCCGAAGCCGGUGGAGUAACCUUUUAGGAGCUAGCCGUCGAAGGUGGGACAAAUGAUUGGGGUGAAGUCGUAACAAGGUAGCCGUAUCGGAAGGUGCGGCUGGAUCACCU